RNAcentral lists this ribosomal RNA (201 nucleotides) under uncultured bacterium. RNAcentral describes it as "partial 16S ribosomal RNA". It matches the Rfam family "Bacterial small subunit ribosomal RNA", at positions 15 to 219 of the family's 1533-position model. The record is from RNAcentral.
GAUCCUGGCUCAGAUUGAACGCUGGCGGCAGGCCUAACACAUGCAAGUCGAACGGUAACAGGAAGCAGCUUGCUGCUUUGCUGACGAGUGGCGGACGGGUGAGUAAUGUCUGGGAAACUGCCAGAUGGAGGGGGAUAACUACUGGAAACGGUAGCUAAUACCGCAUAACGUCGCAAGACCAAAGAGGGCGGUACGGUCGCU